RNAcentral lists this ribosomal RNA (503 nucleotides) under uncultured bacterium. Its description in RNAcentral is "bacterial SSU rRNA". It matches the Rfam family "Bacterial small subunit ribosomal RNA", at positions 15 to 509 of the family's 1533-position model. The record is from RNAcentral.
GAUCCUGGCUCAGGAUGAACGCUAGCUACAGGCUUAACACAUGCAAGUCGAGGGGCAGCAUGAUGGUUGCUUGCAACCGUUGAUGGCGACCGGCGCACGGGUGAGUAACGCGUAUCCAAUCUACCUUAUACUCGGGGAUAACCCGUUGAAAGGCGGACUAAUACCCGAUAUAGUUGUUUGAUGGCAUCUGAUGACAACGAAAGGUUACGGUAUAAGAUGGGGAUGCGUCCGAUUAGCUUGUUGGCGGGGUAACGGCCCACCAAGGCGACGAUCGGUAGGGGUUCUGAGAGGAAGGUCCCCCACAUUGGAACUGAGACACGGUCCAAACUCCUACGGGAGGCAGCAGUGAGGAAUAUUGGUCAAUGGACGAGAGUCUGAACCAGCCAAGUAGCGUGCAGGAUGACGGCCCUAUGGGUUGUAAACUGCUUUUAUGCGGGGAUAAAGUGUGCCACGUGUGGCAUAUUGCAGGUACCGCAUGAAUAAGGACCGGCUAAUUCCGUGCC